GAGAAGAACGCAGUGAAAUGCGAUAAGUAAUGUGAAUUGCAGAAUUCAGUGAAUCAUCGAAUCUUUGAACGCACCUUGCGCCCUUUGGCCAUUCCGAAGGGCAUGCCUGUUUGAGUAUCAUGAACACCUCAACUCUUUAUGGUUUUCCAUGAUGAGCUUGGACUCUGGGGGUUUUGCUGGCUCACAGUCGGCUCCUCUAAAAUGAAUCAGCUUACCAGUGUUUGGUGGGUAUCAUGGGUGUGAUAACUAUCUACGCUUGUGGUUUUUCCACCAGGUAACCUUCAGCAGUGGAGGUUCGCUGGAGCUCAUAGAUGUCUCUCCUCAGUGAGGACAGCCCUUUGAAUGUUUGAUCUCAAAUCAGGUAGGACUACCCGCUGAACUUAAGAAUAUCAAUAAGCGGAGGA
Molecule: unclassified non-coding RNA, 404 nt
Filed under: soil metagenome
Description: partial contains 5.8S ribosomal RNA, internal transcribed spacer 2, and large subunit ribosomal RNA
Rfam family: 5.8S ribosomal RNA (bases 3-120)
Source: RNAcentral